This 92-nucleotide ribosomal RNA is filed under the name Hordeum vulgare. RNAcentral also lists the same sequence under 1 other name. The record is from RNAcentral. Lineage: Eukaryota; Viridiplantae; Streptophyta; Magnoliopsida; Poales; Poaceae.
GGAUCCCAUCACAACUACGAAGUUAAGCGUGCUUGGGCGAGAGUAGUACUAGGAUGGGUGACCUCCUGGGAAGUCCUCGUGUUGCAUUCCCC